AAUAACUAAUUAUCGUCUCAAGUUUUAACCCAAAUAACAACAUAGUAUUAUACUAAAUAAAGAGAAGGAACUAAGCAAUACUAGACUCCUAACGAGCUUGAGUUUUCAUGUAUAUGCAAUCCCCAAGCUCUGGGAUCCUAUUAGAGAUUGACCCGAUAGUUGAAUCAAAAUAAAUUCCAUUGCGAAACUCCAACUACCGAGUUCACAUAUAAAAAUAAAAGGAUAAGAAUUAGUAACUAAUCAGAUAAAGAUGCAUAUGAAAAAUGAAAGGAGAUCAUGCUUUGAAUAAAGGACUUUAUUAAAUAGCACCUCGGGAACCAAAUGCAAGCUCAGCUCAUGAUUUCAUGAGCCAAGCAAAAUUAAAAAACACUUAGAAAGGCGAAACUAGGAUAUUUAACCCCUUUCUGGAUGCGGAAUUAACAAACAAAACACACAACAACCACACCUAAAUUUUGAGCCAGAAACUUACCCAAAAUGCUACAAAAGAUGCUCACAAACCAACCAUAACAUAUGGAAGGACAGAGUGACACAAAUUAACAAAUAUCAUGUGAUUAAAUUGAGAGAAAUAUCACGCACUUGUAAAAUAAAUAAUGAACAUAGGCUCCUAUGAUCGCAUUAAAAUUCCUGCAACGGUCCAGACUCCGAAUUCUAAGGGAGACUUUGACCACCAAAACCAAAAUACACAAAUGAUGACCAAGCUUUUCUUUGCAUUCAUUAACCUGGGCUAGACCAACCUACCAAAACUAUAGUCUUUUAAGUCAUAAGUGAGCACACAUAUAUAUAUGGAUUUAUGGGACUGUGCUAAUCAUGAUGAAUACUUGCCAAUCCAUCGCAACCUUUGAUGGUAUUAUACAUGUAUAAUGGCAAAUCAAUUCAAAUAUUUCUCAACUUUCUCACAUAAAAAAUGCAAAAAUGACUGCCUAAAACAUUGUCGUUCAAUAUAUCCAAAGACAAUGUGAACAUAUCUCAGAAUUAACGAGAGACUUUAGAAAAAAACGAUGUUCUAUAACUUAAUUUGCAAAAAAAAAAAAAAAAAACACAGCCAUGUUGAACAAGAUGAGCGAUUAUAUUCAGGAAGCCAGAAUAGGUGAGGGAUAAAUGAGUAAAAAAGAAACAAAGACGAACUUAUGCAAUAGAUUAAGCACAAUUCUACCUUCUCUAUUUAAGUUUGAAACCUUUCGAGAUAUGUCCAUAACUCCCCAAACUAUAUGUUUUUUUUUACAUAAUAAAACAUAGCAGCCCCCUAAAAUCUUUAACUUGAAGCGAAAUAAAUCUCAUUCACUUAUCCUUAUUGCACCUUUGAGCGGGGAAAGACAAAAUAGAAAAGAAAAUUUUCAAAUCGUGACAUGUUUGGAUGCAAAACAAGCACAUGACGAGAUUAAAUGAAAUGAUGCUUUAACCUUCUUUAAAGUAAAAGAAACAAAGACUGAAUUCCCGUUAUGGAUACACAAGUAGUAAUAAAACAAGAGCAUGAUCAAAUCAUUCCAUAAUAACUUUGAAUAUAAAAAACAUGAGAGUAUAAUCUAUGGCUAAACUCGUCACUGUCAAAAUUUCUAGGCGAAUUCAAAAAUUAGGUGGGAAAGACACUUUAAGACGAGAUUUGCAAAAAUAAAAUGACUAGUAAUGCUAAAGAGGAGAUGCGUCACACAUUUCAAACGCUUAGAUACAAAAUGACACUGAAUGAAGAAAAAUCAUCCUCCGACUUGAUUUCACUGAAAAAACAACAAUACCAACACGGACUCAAAGCCCGGACAAACUUUUUUUCAACAACAACCAUAUCAAUUUGAUCGGAAUACAUACAACCGACCCAGGCUCGCAAGCGAAUCCGCUUAUGCAAGAAUGGCAGCAACGACAUGAAUUUGACCAAACUAAACGAUACACAUGAAAUUUGCAAACUAGUUGAUUUACGUCCUUAAUUUUCGAAGGAGAACAUAGCAACCGCACCUUCCUUCGCCAUAACAAAUUAAUACGUAACAAAACAGCCACGAAACCAUCACAUUAACACAACAUCGGAACCACUUAGCCUCCAAUUCCAAUUUCCAGAAAACAAAUUUCCCAACUAAGUUUUCCCACUUUCCUUUAUUAUUUGUUUUUCUUAAGAAAAAACUGUUCUGCCUACAUGAAUACACCACAGAGUAAACUUCUACAUACUUACAAGCUUGUGUAUUCAUGUGCGAGACAAUUUUCGAAAUCGAAAAUUAUAUUCAUUCGUGAAUCUAAAAGAAGACAACAUCAACGAUAUGGAUUCCAAAAUAAAACCGCACACCAAUGGGACGAAAAUAGAUGGACUAGUAACUAAAAUUAGACGAGGGAGGGAAGUUCGCACCUUACGUUGUGCAGCAAAUCAUAGCUUUUCGUCAAGUAUUCCGGCCACUCAGACUCGAGUUGCAAAAUCAACAGAAAAAAUCAAUGAUUCUAGUAACUUCGUUGGUGGAUUUCUAGAUUUCAAAAACUAAUUUUUCCUUCUUUUUUUUUCAACUUUUGGACCCGUUUUCACUUUCUUUUUUUAUUUCUCCUCUUUUUCUCUCUUGCUUCUUGCUUUUCUCCCCUUUUCCAAACUUCACUGGUUUUUCCUUACUUUCUCACAAUUUUUUUCUUAAUUCUUUUCUUCUCCUCUGCUUUAUCUUCCUUGUCCUCAAAGGGGUGGAAAUCCGGCUAUUUAUAGCCAAAAUCCGGACUUUAAAGUCCGGAUUUGAGACAACAAAUAAGUAAACCGCGGGAGAAACAGAGAAUUUGAAUUUUUGAAUUCAAAUCUCUAAAGCAAAUCCAUCGAUUUCAACCUUUUCAGGCGACUUGUGGCGGAUUUGACGUUAAUGACGAGUUGUUACAUCAUUUCGGGUCCAAUUUUCCUGAGUUUAGCGGGUUUCGCAGGUCUGGAAUGACAAGAUGGGAUUAGUUCGCGUAGGGUGAAAGCCAUGGCUGCCUAUGGCUGCCAUUUUUGUCGAUGAAGAAGGGAAAAGAGAAGAAAGAAAGUCCAUGGCUGUUUGUAUCGUUGUUUUGAGAAAGAGAAAUGGGUCAACGUAUGGGGGAAUGCGUGUAUUGGGGAGUGUGGAAAAGCCAUAUAAUGGGUUGUUUAUGUUGAUUAUAAUUUG
Molecule: long non-coding RNA, 3092 nt
Filed under: Capsicum annuum
Lineage: Eukaryota; Viridiplantae; Streptophyta; Magnoliopsida; Solanales; Solanaceae
Description: long non-coding RNA (CANN_LNC002826)
Source: RNAcentral